GGACAGUCUCACAGGACUGUCAGGCGAUGGGCAGAAGGCUCAGGAUUAUGUUUGUGGGUUACCUGCAAGAAUUAGAAACUUAGAAGAAAGAGGUCAGGUGUGGGCAAAAGAACGUCCCACCAUUCCAUUCACUUGGAUUUUCAAUCGAGAGGUUAAGCUGUAGAAACUGGAAAUGUUAAAGAGGAGUUGAUAGGAAAGGGGAAAAC
RNAcentral lists this unclassified non-coding RNA (206 nucleotides) under Hevea brasiliensis (rubber tree). The record is from RNAcentral. Lineage: Eukaryota; Viridiplantae; Streptophyta; Magnoliopsida; Malpighiales; Euphorbiaceae.